Molecule: ribosomal RNA, 468 nt
Filed under: uncultured bacterium
Lineage: Bacteria
Description: partial 16S ribosomal RNA
Rfam family: Bacterial small subunit ribosomal RNA
Source: RNAcentral
GACGAACGCUGGCGGCGCGCCUAACACAUGCAAGUCGAACGGAGUCAAGAGGAGCUUGCUUUUCUUGACUUAGUGGCGAACGGGUGAGUAACGCGUGAGUAACCUGCCCUGGAGUGGGGGACAACAGUUGGAAACGACUGCUAAUACCGCAUAAGCCCACGGAUCUGCAUGGAUCUGCGGGAAAAGGAUUUAUUCGCUCUAGGAUGGACUCGCGUCCAAUUAGCUAGUUGGUGAGGUAACGGCCCACCAUGGCGGCGAUUGGUAGCCGGACUGAGAGGUUGAACGGCCACAUUGGGAAUGAGACACGGCCCAGACUCCUACGGGAGGCAGCAGAGGGGGAUAUUGCACAAGGGGGGAAACCCUGAUGCAGCGACGCCGCGUGGAGGAAGAAGGUUUUCGGAUUGUAAACUCCUGUCGUUAGGGACGAUAAUGACGGUACCUAACAAGAAAGCACCAGCUAACUACGUG